Bubalus bubalis (water buffalo) is the source of this 915-nucleotide long non-coding RNA. RefSeq lists it as uncharacterized. The record is from RefSeq and is a predicted model, not a curated record. The transcript has 3 exons. Lineage: Eukaryota; Metazoa; Chordata; Mammalia; Artiodactyla; Bovidae.
UUGUACAUCCUCCUCAAGCCCAGGAACUGAUACUACUGAUCUCCUUCAUUCAGUUCUGCCGGAGUGGUGGCUAUUGCCAAAAGAGAGUGCUCAUUUGUAUUGUCUUUUUCUAGAACAGCGGGGAUGUUAUUACAAGUGUUCUGGAAGAGAGAGGAGGGAAGCCAAAAAGAAAUUGCACAGCAUCUUAAAAAUAGCUAGCAGGGUGCGAGUUGCUUGACAACUCGCGAAGUUGGCAAAGAUCCUGACGUGUCUGUUGGGCGCCGGGCUUUGCUACCACUAUUUGGCUACCGGUCCCAUUUCCUAGGAUUCUUCUCUGACAGUGCUCUGGAGGCUGGCUGAGGGGGGAGGUACCAGAGAGACAAGCAUCCCCCUGGCCAGCUCCUACCUAGGUUGGAAGGAGCCACAGUUUAAAAAAAAAAAAAAAAAAAGUUGACCUCUGGCCAGAAGAAGGCCCAGGAGAUGCUUUUCUGCUAAGGGAUGUCUGGGUCCCUGUCAACCCCCAAGUUGGAGGCAGUUAAACCAGCACCCAGAGGAGGCAGAGAGACUCAGAGGGGAUGUUUGGGAAGGAGAGGCCGUGCGAUCAGCAAGAGACCCGGUGGGAUUCGGGGACGGCCAGACGCUCUUUAACUUGUCAAGUGGAGCUGAAGUCCUAGCCUGCUCAUAACUGUUCCUGAGGAACGCUGGUGAGCUGUUUGCACAAGUCCUCCUGCUGGGAAGGCUCUCAGGAACACAACUUCCUCCUCUAGGCCAUUGACCGCCUCUUCCUAAGAGGCUGCCCCAGUGCCCUUCCAGGCUGUAACUCACUGAAGGAGCCUCUCAACAGCCUUCUGAGGUCCUCCGUUUUAUGGAUGCAAAGGUGGCUCAGUGGUAAAGAACCUGCCUGGCAAUGCAGGAGACACAGGAGACAUGGGUUCA